GGAACUGAGGAUGAUGAAUUCUUCAAGAACAAAGGGGGAGAUGUGAACAAAGGGGGAGAAGGUAUAAGAAUUUAAGGCUAAUCAUUUUUGAGUGAUUUGUUUUGCAGGAUUUCAAGACUUCAAGACUCCUAGUUGCGUCUAAGUCAUAGAGUCUGUUUUAGGAGUUUUGAUGUAAUUCUGAGUUUCAUAUUGUAUUUGGAUUACACGCGAGGAGUUCAAUGUUUUGGUGAUGACAAUUGAACUUCGUUUUUCUUUAAAUUGUAAUUUUUGAGUUUGUGUGAGUUUUGUCACGAAAAUUGCCAAAGGGGGAGAUUGUUAAGGAUUUUGUAUUGGCAAGUUUCGUGAAGUGAGUCGGAGUCUUGAAGAAUCGAAGCGAAUUGAUAAAGAUCAAAGAAUUCAAGAUUUCGGAAAAAUCAGAAAAUA
This 423-nucleotide long non-coding RNA is filed under the name Ananas comosus (pineapple). RNAcentral describes it as "long non-coding RNA (ACOM_LNC006970)". Lineage: Eukaryota; Viridiplantae; Streptophyta; Magnoliopsida; Poales; Bromeliaceae. The record is from RNAcentral.